UGAAUACGAAAUGCUACGGCGUCGAAGCAGUGUAUGUCAGACUUCCAAGAAAAGCUCGCAAUGUCAUAAAUAAAGAAUGCCUGUACCAUAACCGACACAGGUGGGUAGGUAGAGUAUACUAAGGGGCGCGAGAUAACUCUCUCUAAGGAACUCGGCAAAAUAACUCCGUAACUUCGGGAGAAGGAGUGCCUUCUAUUAGAAGGUUGCAAUAACAAGAUCCAAGCAACUGUUUAUCAAAAACACAGGUCUCCGCUAAGUCGUAAGACGAUGUAUGGGGGCUGACGCCUGCCCAGUGCCAGAAGGUUAAAGAAGUUGGUUAGCUUUGGCGAAGCUGAUGACUGAAGCCCUGGUGAACGGCGGCCGUAACGAUAACGGUCCUAAGGUAGCGAAAUUCCUUGUCGGGUAAGUUCCGACCCGCACGAAAGGCGUAAUGAUUUGGAUACUGUCUCGGAGAGGGACUCGGUGAAAUAGACUUGUCUGUGAAGAUGCGGACUACCUGCACCAGGACAGAAAGACCCUAUGAAGCUUUACCGUAACUUGAAAUUGAAAUUGGACUUUAUUUGCGCAGCAUAGGUGGAAGGCGUUGAGAUUACUCUUGCGGGAGUACUGGAGCCAUCAGUGAGAUACCACUCCUAUAAUGUUAGAUUUCUAACUUUGGAUCAUGAUCUGGUCAAAGAACAGUUUCAGGCGGGCAGUUUGACUGGGGCGGUCGCCUCCCAAAUGGUAACGGAGGCGUACAAAGGUUUCCUCUGAACGGGUAGAAAUCGUAUCUAGAGUGUAAAGGCAUAAGGAAGCUUGACUGUGAGACCUACAAGUCGAGCAGGGACGAAAGUCGGUCUUAGUGAUCUGACGGUGCUGAGUGGAAAGGCCGUCACUCAACGGAUAAAAGUUACUCUAGGAUAACAGGCUGAUCUCCCCCAAGAGUUCACAUCGACGGGGAGGUUUGGCACCUUGAUGUCGGCUCAUCGCAUCCUGGGGCGGUAGUACGUCCCAAGGGUUGGGCUGUUCGCCCAUGAAAGCGGUACGCGAGCUGGGUUCAGAACGUCGUGAGACAGUUCGGUCCAUAUCCGGUGUAGGCGUUAGAAUAUUGAGAGGAGCCUUCUUUAGUACGAGAGGACCGAGAAGGACAUACCUCUGGUGUACCAGUUAUCGUGCCAACGGUAAACGCUGGGUAGCUAUGUAUGGAGAGGAUAACCGCUGAAAGCAUCUAAGUGGGAAGCCCACCUCAAGAUGAGUAUUCUCAU
This 1244-nucleotide ribosomal RNA is filed under the name metagenome. Its description in RNAcentral is "bacterial LSU rRNA". It matches the Rfam family "Bacterial large subunit ribosomal RNA", at positions 1564 to 2817 of the family's 2925-position model. The record is from RNAcentral.